RNAcentral lists this long non-coding RNA (1210 nucleotides) under Ananas comosus (pineapple). Its description in RNAcentral is "long non-coding RNA (ACOM_LNC014816)". The record is from RNAcentral. Lineage: Eukaryota; Viridiplantae; Streptophyta; Magnoliopsida; Poales; Bromeliaceae.
UAAUUGUUCUAAUUAAGUCUUAUAACUCAAAUUAGUUGACUAAAUAUUAAUAUACCGCUAAUAUAAAAGUGAUAUUAUAGUGUUCUGAUCGAUGACGCGCCAAUAAUUAAGAUACUACAUCACAUUUACAUCAGAGAUGCGUCAACAUUUAAUCAACUUAACUGGGAUGUGGAACUUACGGCAUUUUUGGAUCGCACUAUGAAAGACUACUAAAAAUAAAAAGACGCCCAAAAAUCUUAUUUAUACCCAACCUAUUACUAAGAAUAUAGAAUUUCGAUAUUUGGUUCACACGGUCAUAUUAUUUAGUUAUAUUAUUUAAGAUCACAAAAAAUAUACUUAAAUGUAUUUAUUUCGUUAAUUAGAAAUUUCAACAUCUUUUUAGAAAAAAUUGGAUAAAAUAUUAAUAGUUAAAUAAUAAUAAACAAAAUAUUCAGCUAAUAUAUCUUUUUCUUUUCAACAAUAAUGAAGAAUUUAAUUUUAAGCAAAUUAAGAGAGCUUAGCUUAGAGAGAGAAAAAUUUGAUGCUAAGGAAAUAGAAUGUUGAGAUAAAAAGAAAGUUUUUUAAGUUAAAGAUGUGAAAGAUAAAAAAAAGAAAGAAGAGCUUGAAGAAGAGCUUGAAGAGAGAGAUUUGACGUAGAGAUUUUAGAGAUGGAGGGAAAUAGCGCAUAGAUUAGAAAGGGAGAGUAUAAUUAAAAAAAUAGAGAGAGAUAGAAUCAAAAUUAGUGGGAGUAUGAGAGUUGAAAUUUUAGAAAUAGAAAGGGGGAGAGUGCUUAGCUUCGAGAGAGAAAAAAAGUUUAAAUUUAUAAAGAGAAAGGUAAGAUUAGAAAGAGAUAUGAGGUUAGAGAGUAAACAAAAAUAAUACUAACUAAUCAGCGGGUGGAGAGAAAGAAAAAAAAGAAGAAGAAGCUAGAUUAGAAAAAAAAGGGAUUAGAUUAGACAUAUUAUAAUUACCGCAGUUUAUUAAUAUGAGAAUACAAACCCUCAUUCAAGAGAACGGGAUUAGUACUUUAGGAUAAAUCUUAUUCCCAAAUAAAUCUAAUAUUACCGAUUAGAUUAUUUAAUAGAUUUAGCCAAAUAUAGUCAUAUUUUUUUUUUAUUUCUAUCGAAUUAUUAAAAUUAAAAAAAAAAUAGCACGAACCAAACACACCUUACUGUAAUAAUUCGAAAAAAUUUAAGUCAAAACUUUAAUAAAUUAAAGUUUAAAAAUUAAA